Molecule: non-coding RNA, 76 nt
Filed under: Saccharolobus solfataricus
Lineage: Archaea; Thermoproteati; Thermoproteota; Thermoprotei; Sulfolobales; Sulfolobaceae
Source: RNAcentral
GGCACCCUCCUCUGGUCAACUCUUAGGGGAUGAGGAGCGGGAGCCGACUCCUACUCCCGCAAUCCCAGAGGAGGGU